UGCAGUCGAGCGGCAGCACAGGUACUUGUACCGGGUGGCGAGCGGCGGACGGGUGAGUAAUGCCUAGGAAUCUGCCUGGUAGUGGGGGAUAACGCUCGGAAACGGACGCUAAUACCGCAUACGUCCUACGGGAGAAAGCAGGGGACCUUCGGGCCUUGCGCUAUCAGAUGAGCCUAGGUCGGAUUAGCUAGUUGGUGGGGUAAUGGCUCACCAAGGCGACGAUCCGUAACUGGUCUGAGAGGAUGAUCAGUCACACUGGAACUGAGACACGGUCCAGACUCCUACGGGAGGCAGCAGUGGGGAAUAUUGGACAAUGGGCGAAAGCCUGAUCCAGCCAUGCCGCGUGUGUGAAGAAGGUCUUCGGAUUGUAAAGCACUUUAAGUUGGGAGGAAGAGCAGUUGCUUAAUACGUGACUGUUUUGACGUUACCGACAGAAUAAGCACCGGCUAACUCUGUGCCAGCAGCCGCGGUAAUACAGAGGGUGCAAGCGUUAAUCGGAAUUACUGGGCGUAAAGCGCGCGUAGGUGGUUUGUUAAGUUGAAUGUGAAAUCCCCGGGCUCAACCUGGGAACUGCAUCCAAAACUGGCAAGCUAGAGUAUGGUAGAGGGGUGGUGGAAUUUCCUGUGUAGCGGUGAAAUGCGUAGAUAUAGGAAGG
This 655-nucleotide ribosomal RNA is filed under the name Pseudomonas sp. I1. Its description in RNAcentral is "bacterial SSU rRNA". It matches the Rfam family "Bacterial small subunit ribosomal RNA", at positions 56 to 704 of the family's 1533-position model. Lineage: Bacteria; Pseudomonadati; Pseudomonadota; Gammaproteobacteria; Pseudomonadales; Pseudomonadaceae. The record is from RNAcentral.